UGUCUUUAAAUGCGUACAGAGGACAGAAGGAGAGAGAAACCUUUUUUUUAUUGUCUGAAAAUCAGAAUCCGUAUUUUUCUUUUCACUACACACAGACAUCGGCAAGGUCAGGCGGUUCACACCACUGUAUUAGCAGAGUAGCAGGUGGCCUCACAGAUGGAGACUGGUAUCACCGUUCACACCAGUAUAUGGUGUCUAUUAGUAUCUUGCUGAGAUUGGCUGGUUGCUCAGGUUCAUGGUCACGCUAAAAUACAAAAAAUCAUUUAUCUAAUCUCUCCUAACACUUCUGUCUUCAUUCUUCUAGAUCUUUUUAAAUCAUUUUAGCCCCACCUGUUUGAGAAAAUAAAUCUACAGUUUCUAUUCAUGAAAGGAAGCCUCUGGUAAAACAUAGGGUGGGGUCCCACAUCAUUUUCCUGUAGUUGUGGUUUGCAGACACGUGCAGUAUUUUGGCAGCCAAAAGAAGCAGUUUCAGUUAUCUUCUUUCUUUCUUUCUUUCUUUCUUUCUUUCUUUCUUUCUUUCUUUCUUUCUUUCUUUCUUUCUUUCUUUCUUUCUUGGGUUCACACAAAGUUGGAAAAGAGAAUGUCAAAAGAGUGAGCAGAGAAAGAAAAAAACAAGGUUACUCAAAGUGGUUCACAGCAAUUAAACACCAUCCUCUAUCUACCUGCCACUGUCUGUCACUGUCCUGCUCCAUCAGUCACAUCUCGCCUCUGCCAUCAGCUCCAUCAGGACUGGAGGCAGAAGGGUGCAUAACCAGACUUAAAAUUCUGAUUGUGGUUGAAAAUAUAAGGCAAAGUAAAGGAUCGUGUUGUUUUCUUCUUUUUUUAGCAUCUGCUCUCAUUUCUUUGCUAUACCCUGUUGUGUAGGUCUGUUCUGUCGCCCCAUAUUUUUUCCUGCCUGUUUUCUUUCACAUGAAGCCACAUGUGCUUAUGGUCCUCUAUGGUUUGAGGACAGAAGUGUGUGGGUGUCACUGAGCCUCUUUCAGACAUGCAUUCAUGCAAUCUAAACGGGCUGGUUUCAUGUCUGAAUGAGCACCCUGGUCAUUUUUCUGUACAAGUCACAACAGCAGGCACGCACAAGAUUACCACUGCACAUGUCUCUCAAGCUGUUUGUGAGUAGCUCACUGAGAAACUGGAGAAUUCCCUAAACAGAAAUACCAUCUACAUAAUAACAUUUAUCCUGACCAAUUUGUUUCUAAUUUGC
Molecule: long non-coding RNA, 1201 nt
Organism: Astatotilapia calliptera (eastern happy)
Lineage: Eukaryota; Metazoa; Chordata; Actinopteri; Cichliformes; Cichlidae
Source: Ensembl